This 209-nucleotide ribosomal RNA is filed under the name uncultured bacterium. RNAcentral describes it as "partial 16S ribosomal RNA". It matches the Rfam family "Bacterial small subunit ribosomal RNA", at positions 149 to 353 of the family's 1533-position model. The record is from RNAcentral.
GUCAGAAAAUGGCUGCUAAAUACCGCAUAAGCGCACAGAGACUGCAUGGCUCAGUGUGAAAAACUCCGGUGGUAUAAGAUGGACCCGCGUUGGAUUAGCUUGUUGGUGGGGUAACGGCCCACCAAGGCGACGAUCCAUAGCCGGCCUGAGAGGGUGAACGGCCACAUUGGGACUGAGACACGGCCCAGACUCCUACGGGAGGCAGCAUG